AAGCCGUGGUGUGGGCAUUGGUUAGUGUAGCUUCUAAACCAUUCCCAAGCUUCACUAAAGCUCUCGUUAUUGUGCUGCGUGAAACUUGAGAUCUGAUUCCUGAGCUU
Small nucleolar RNA from Eutrema salsugineum, 107 nucleotides. It matches the Rfam family "Plant small nucleolar RNA R71". Rfam says of the family: R71 is a member of the C/D box family of snoRNAs containing the C (UGAUGA) and D (CUGA) box motifs. Multiple nearly identical copies of this snoRNA have been identified in Arabidopsis, and it is thought to function as a 2'-O-ribose methylation guide for 18S ribosomal RNA. NCBI's taxonomy places the organism in Eukaryota, Viridiplantae, Streptophyta, Magnoliopsida, Brassicales, Brassicaceae. The record is from Rfam.